AGGUCAGUAGCUCAGUGGUAGAGCGGUCGGCUGUUAACCGAUUGGUCGUAGGUUCGAAUCCUACCUACUUG
RNAcentral lists this transfer RNA (71 nucleotides) under Solanum melongena (eggplant). RNAcentral describes it as "tRNA-Asn". It matches the Rfam family "tRNA". From Rfam's summary of the family: Transfer RNA (tRNA) molecules are approximately 80 nucleotides in length. Their secondary structure includes four short double-helical elements and three loops (D, anti-codon, and T loops). The record is from RNAcentral. RNAcentral also lists the same sequence under 1 other name. Lineage: Eukaryota; Viridiplantae; Streptophyta; Magnoliopsida; Solanales; Solanaceae.